ACUCCCUCCAUCCUAAAAUAAACCAAUAUUUUGUUUGACAAUUCGUCUUAUUUAUCUUUUUGGCGAUUAACAUUUUUGUUUUUAUUAGAUGAUAAAUUAUGAAUAGUAUUUUAGAUGUGACUAUUUUUUAAUUUCUUGAAAAUUUUUAAAAUAAGACGGAUAGUCAAAUGCUGGGCACGAAAACCGAAAGUUUGGUUUAUU
Molecule: microRNA precursor, 201 nt
Filed under: Oryza brachyantha (malo sina)
Lineage: Eukaryota; Viridiplantae; Streptophyta; Magnoliopsida; Poales; Poaceae
Description: MIR812 microRNA precursor family
Rfam family: MIR812 microRNA precursor family
Source: Rfam by way of RNAcentral